Zea mays is the source of this 113-nucleotide non-coding RNA. The record is from Rfam. NCBI's taxonomy places the organism in Eukaryota, Viridiplantae, Streptophyta, Magnoliopsida, Poales, Poaceae.
UUUGAUGAUGUGUUGCUUAAUUGUGAGGUGCAGACAACUCCAAGUCGCUGCUCUCCAGGGAGAACCUACUUGGAGUCCUACAAUCAAAUGAGAUCUGAGGCAUUUUCUGAUAU